Molecule: RNA transcript, 1200 nt
Organism: Lycium barbarum (goji berry)
Lineage: Eukaryota; Viridiplantae; Streptophyta; Magnoliopsida; Solanales; Solanaceae
Exons: 2
Source: RefSeq, a predicted model, not a curated record
AAAGCAAUCAAGAGUUUCUUCUACUUCAUCUAGCAGGCUAAAUUUAGGCCUCAAACCAAUUGUCCAUAUCUCAUCUAUAAUUUUAGCAUCCGUCAAUUGAUAGGACCAUUAAGGCAUCGGCACCAUUGGCAAGCCAAGGAUCAAUCCUUUGAGAGUCGAAUUUCAUCCACAAUGAAUCACGAAACAAUCAACGGCUUGAUUUGCUAGUGUUUCACUACUAAAAAAAAGGGCGUUUUCGACCAAAAAAUUUCGACCACAUUUUUGGUCGAAAACAAAUCGACCACGCGCGGUCGAAAAAUCAAGAAUUUUUUUUUAAAAUUUUCAGUAGGAUUUCGACCACACGGGGUCAAUUUUUUAAAAUGAAAAUAUAAUUUCGACCACGUGUGGUCGAAAUUAAAUUUUAUAUAAAUAAUAAAUGAGAAACGUUUAAUUUAAAAAAAAAAAAAACAAUUUUCGACCACAUGUGGUCGAAAAUUGGGCCACAUUUAUUCCACAUCUGGUCUUUACUUUUCAAUUCAAAAUUUUUCUUUCUCUCUCUUUCCUCUCUCCCUCUCCUCUCUCUACCAACACACACCACCUUUCUCCCUCUCCUCUCUACCCACACCACCAGCCCACCACCCCACCAGCCCAGACCCUCAACCCACUGCCUUCCGACCACCGCCAGUUCACCGUCGGCGGCGCAACCCAUUAUUUUCAGGUGUUUUGGGCACUCGUGUAUGACAUCAGUGUGUAUGUCGCCUUUAAUUCAGUGGUAGGUUCACGCAAUUUCUUCAAAAUCAAUCAAGGGUUGCAAGUGUCAUCAAGGACGGUCAGGGCUCCAAGUCUUCAUGCCUGUUAUAUCUGGAUGAGUGGAAGCAACUCAGGCAAACAAUUGAGGAAGUAUGUGUUACUGCUAGAGACUGUUGAUGUUUGGGCGGAUGCAAGCAAGAAAAAUGGGGAAGAGAAGAGUAUUCUCAGAGUUUCUGAAGCUCUUGGACACCGAACAUGGACCUUUUUGAUUAAUGUGCUUUUGGAUUCUAAUUCUGCUAUAUUUAAAUGGAUAUGUAUAUUAUGUUUAAGGGUUUGAAUGUAGUUUUAAUUUGAACUACAACUACUUUUAAUUUUAAGAUGUUUAAGUGUUUGAACAUAGUUUAUGAUGUUUAAGUGUUUGAAAUUUUGAAUGGACAAUGUUUAAGUGUUCAAGUGUUUGAACAUUGCUUA